Molecule: transfer RNA, 85 nt
Filed under: Candidatus Tayloriibacteriota bacterium
Lineage: Bacteria; Candidatus Tayloriibacteriota
Description: tRNA-Tyr
Rfam family: tRNA
About the family: Transfer RNA (tRNA) molecules are approximately 80 nucleotides in length. Their secondary structure includes four short double-helical elements and three loops (D, anti-codon, and T loops). Further hydrogen bonds mediate the characteristic L-shaped molecular structure. tRNAs have two regions of fundamental functional importance: the anti-codon, which is responsible for specific mRNA codon recognition, and the 3' end, to which the tRNAs corresponding amino acid is attached (by aminoacyl-tRNA synthetases). tRNAs cope with the degeneracy of the genetic code in two manners: having more than one tRNA (with a specific anti-codon) for a particular amino acid; and 'wobble' base-pairing, i.e. permitting non-standard base-pairing at the 3rd anti-codon position.
Source: RNAcentral
GCGUGGGUGGUAGAGUGGUCAAUUACACUUGGCUGUAAACCAAGCGCCCGGAAGGGCUACGCAGGUUCGAAUCCUGCUCUGCGCA